CGGUCGUGGGAGCCUAGCGCUGCGGCGCGUGGAGCGGGGAGAGCUCCCGCGGGCCUGAGAAACGCAGAUACCCUCAGAAAGGAAACGGAUGCGACCUAGACGCUGGAGACGAAACGAAAGAUGUCUUGACUUUGGGAUCGAACUCAGGUCCUUGCCCUUGUGCAGCAGAUGGUGAAACCACUGAGCUAAAUCCCCGGCCAAGGCUUCUUGUAAAAAGUGAUGUCUUAUCUGAGAUCUGAAUUACAGCAGGAGUAGCCAACAAGAGGGAGAGGGAGGAAAAGAAUGAGAUGAACUCUCCGAGGCAACAGGAAAAAUAUGUAAAAGUGACCUGCGUAAACUUCGUCAGUCUUUCCUUGCUUCAGAGAGUCAAGAGAGGCAAAUGAGAGAGAGAUCAAGGUA
Molecule: long non-coding RNA, 399 nt
Filed under: Heterocephalus glaber (naked mole-rat)
Lineage: Eukaryota; Metazoa; Chordata; Mammalia; Rodentia; Bathyergidae
Description: lncRNA (ENSHGLG00100040138.1)
Source: RNAcentral